AUUGAACGCUGGCGGAAUGCUUUACACAUGCAAGUCGAGCGGCAGCACGGGGGCAACCCUGGUGGCGAGCGGCGAACGGGUGAGUAAUACAUCGGAACAUGCCCAGUCGUGGGGGAUAACACUUCGAAAGAAGUGCUAAUACCGCAUACGUCCUGAGGGAGAAAGCGGGGGAUCGCAAGACCUCGCGCGAUUGGAGUGGCCGAUGUCAGAUUAGCUAGUUGGUGGGGUAAAGGCCUACCAAGGCAACGAUCUGUAGCUGGUCUGAGAGGAUGAUCAGCCACACUGGGACUGAGACACGGCCCAGACUCCUACGGGAGGCAGCAGUGGGGAAUUUUGGACAAUGGGGGCAACCCUGAUCCAGCCAUGCCGCGUGAGUGAAGAAGGCCUUCGGGUUGUAAAGCUCUUUCGGCAGGAACGAAACGGUGAGCUCUAACAUAGCGCGCUAAUGACGGUACCUGAAGAAGAAGCACCGGCUAACUACGUG
This 484-nucleotide ribosomal RNA is filed under the name uncultured bacterium. RNAcentral's name for it is "partial 16S ribosomal RNA". It matches the Rfam family "Bacterial small subunit ribosomal RNA", at positions 29 to 507 of the family's 1533-position model. The record is from RNAcentral.